RNAcentral lists this small RNA (106 nucleotides) under Salmonella enterica. RNAcentral describes it as "partial RtT sRNA". It matches the Rfam family "RtT RNA", at positions 1 to 104 of the family's 130-position model. From Rfam's summary of the family: This family represents a bacterial cis-regulatory element known as RtT RNA. The exact function of RtT is unknown although it is thought that it may be involved in changing the cellular response in relation to amino acid starvation. Lineage: Bacteria; Pseudomonadati; Pseudomonadota; Gammaproteobacteria; Enterobacterales; Enterobacteriaceae. RNAcentral also lists the same sequence under 4 other names. The record is from RNAcentral.
AUAUCUCUCUGUACGGGAAGGAUGAGAAGCUUCGACUAAGGUUCGAUUCGAGCGUCAGCGAGAAAGCGUUGCCGCAGGCAACGACCCGAAGGGCGAAGCGCGCAGC